RNAcentral lists this ribosomal RNA (504 nucleotides) under uncultured bacterium. RNAcentral's name for it is "partial 16S ribosomal RNA". It matches the Rfam family "Bacterial small subunit ribosomal RNA", at positions 29 to 523 of the family's 1533-position model. The record is from RNAcentral.
AUUGAACGCUGGCGGCAGGCCUAACACAUGCAAGUCGAACGGUAGCACAGAGAGCUUGCUCUCGGGUGACGAGUGGCGGACGGGUGAGUAAUGCCUGGGAAACUGCCCGAUGGAGGGGGAUAACUACUGGAAACGGUAGCUAAUACCGCAUAACGUCGCAAGACCAAAGUGGGGGACCUUCGGGCCUCACACCAUCGGAUGUGCCCAGAUGGGAUUAGCUAGUAGGUGGGGUAAUGGCUCACCUAGGCGACGAUCCCUAGCUGGUCUGAGAGGAUGACCAGCCACACUGGAACUGAGACACGGUCCAGACUCCUACGGGAGGCAGCAGUGGGGAAUACUGCACAAUGGGCGCAAGCCUGACGCAGCCAUGCCGCGUGUAUGAAGAAGGCCUUCGGGUUGUAAAGUACUUUCAGCGGGGAGGAAGGCGGUGAAGUUAAUAACUUCACCGAUUGACGUUACCCGCAGAAGAAGCACCGGCUAACUCCGUGCCAGCAGCCGCGGUAA